RNAcentral lists this unclassified non-coding RNA (334 nucleotides) under soil metagenome. RNAcentral's name for it is "partial contains 5.8S ribosomal RNA, internal transcribed spacer 2, and large subunit ribosomal RNA". The stretch from base 1 to 120 matches the Rfam family "5.8S ribosomal RNA", at positions 35 to 154 of the family's 154-position model. The record is from RNAcentral.
GAUGAAGAACGUAGCGAAAUGCGAUAAGUAAUGUGAAUUGCAGAAUUCAGUGAAUCAUCGAAUCUUUGAACGCACAUUGCGCCCGCCAGUAUUCUGGCGGGCAUGCCUGUUCGAGCGUCAUUUCAACCAUCAAGCCCCCGGCUUGUGUUGGGGACCUGCGGCUGCCGCAGGCCCUGAAAUGCAGUGGCGGGCUCGCUGUCACUCCGAGCGUAGUAGUUACAUCUCGCUCUGGGCGUGCUGCGGGUUCCGGCCGUUAAAAGCCUUAUUUACCCAAGGUUGACCUCGGAUCAGGUAGGAAGACCCGCUGAACUUAAGAAUAUCAAUAAGCGGAGGA